CGGUGAUUGGCGCAGCCUGGUAGCGCACUUCGUUCGGGACGAAGGGGUCGAGGUUCGAAUCCUCUAUCCCCGACCA
RNAcentral lists this transfer RNA (76 nucleotides) under Shigella sp. FC2541. Its description in RNAcentral is "tRNA-Pro". It matches the Rfam family "tRNA". Rfam says of the family: Transfer RNA (tRNA) molecules are approximately 80 nucleotides in length. Their secondary structure includes four short double-helical elements and three loops (D, anti-codon, and T loops). Lineage: Bacteria; Pseudomonadati; Pseudomonadota; Gammaproteobacteria; Enterobacterales; Enterobacteriaceae. The record is from RNAcentral.